UGGGGAAUAUUGGACAAUGGGCGAAAGCCUGAUCCAGCCAUGCCGCGUGUGUGAAGAAGGUCUUCGGAUUGUAAAGCACUUUAAGUUGGGAGGAAGGGCAUUAACCUAAUACGUUAGUGUUUUGACGUUACAGACAGAAUAAGCACCGGCUAACUCUGUGCCAGCAGCCGCGGUAAUACAGAGGGUGCAAGCGUUAAUCGGCAUUACUGGGCGUAAAGCGCGCGUAGGUGGUUUGUUAAGUUGGAUGUGAAAUCCCCGGGCUCAACCUGGGAACUGCAUUCAAAACUGACUGACUAGAGUAUGGUAGAGGGUGGUGGAAUUUCCUGUGUAGCGGUGAAAUGCGUAGAUAUAGGAAGGAACACCAGUGGCGAAGGCGACCACCUGGACUAAUACUGACACUGAGGUGCGAAAGCGUGGGGAGCAAACA
RNAcentral lists this ribosomal RNA (427 nucleotides) under uncultured bacterium. RNAcentral's name for it is "partial 16S ribosomal RNA". It matches the Rfam family "Bacterial small subunit ribosomal RNA", at positions 355 to 774 of the family's 1533-position model. The record is from RNAcentral.